CCUGGAUGAGCCUCUGACGUCUCAAGCAGCAUUGUUUUAAUGCUUUGAUGAAGCUCAGCACGCUGCCGAAAUCUCGGCAGUAUUUUUUCUUUUCUUUUUGCAUGUGAGAGAAAGGACAACAAAUUGCAGUUUUAUCCAUUUGUAUUAUUUCUUUAGAAAACUCAACACUCUUUUUGUUGGAGGUGGGGAAAUGAGAAGGUGAUGUUUUGUUUUGCUUUUUUUCCUAUUUUUUUUUUUUAAAGGAGGAGAAGAUGACAGUGUUCUCCCUAAGGAUGAAGUUUGACUUUUGAAACAUAUCACAUGCUUAAAGCACAUUUGAGCUCCUGCAUGAACAGUAAGCUAGCAGAUGGUAGAAAUAUUCUUUAUUAAUUCAAAAAAUAUUUACUGCGGACCUACAAUGUGCCAAGCAUGUCUCCUGACACUGGGGAUAAGCAGUGAACAACAACAAAAAGACAAACUUCUUCCACCCUGAGGCGUAUGUUCUCGGUGAGAAAUGGGCAAUAAACAUAAUACCUAAGAAAAUUAUACGGGAUGUUAGUGACAAAUGCAGUGGAGGAAAAGGGAGGCCAGGGGCAUCAAGUGUGGAGAUCAGAAGUGGUAGAGUUACAAUUUUAAAUAAGAGGGACAGAUAGACAUGAUUAAGGAGGUGAAGUUUGAGCAGACAGUUGAGGGAGACCAGGAAGCUAGUUUUGUGUGUGCCCAAGUAAGAGUAUUCUAGGCAGAGACAGCAGCUGUUAAAAGGCUUUAAAUGGAGAAUGUGCCUGGCAUGUUCAAUUACAGCAGACGUGUGUGGGUCUGGCACAGAAAGAACAAGGGGAAAAGAAGAAAGAAGUAUUAAUAGACAAAGUAUUUAGUUAAGGAGAGCAGGGCAAAUUCUGUAAGGCAUUCAGAGCCAUUUCACUCCGGAAAAAAAAUGUGUAAUAUUGAAUAUACGUGUUAAAUGUUGA
This 947-nucleotide long non-coding RNA is filed under the name Homo sapiens (human). RNAcentral describes it as "non-protein coding lnc-NAT1-3:16". Lineage: Eukaryota; Metazoa; Chordata; Mammalia; Primates; Hominidae. The record is from RNAcentral.